This 375-nucleotide ribosomal RNA is filed under the name uncultured bacterium. Its description in RNAcentral is "bacterial SSU rRNA". It matches the Rfam family "Bacterial small subunit ribosomal RNA", at positions 29 to 431 of the family's 1533-position model. The record is from RNAcentral.
AACGAACGCUGGCGGCAUGCCUAACACAUGCAAGUCGAACGCGUGUAGCAAUACACGAGUGGCGGACGGGUGAGUAUCGCGUGGGAACCUGCCCAGUGGUAGGGAAUAACUGCGGGAAACUGCAGCUAAUACCCUAUACGCCCUUUGGGGAAAGAUUCAUCGCCAUUGGAGGGGCCCGCGUCGGAUUAGCUAGUUGGCGGGGUAACGGCCCACCAAGGCAACGAUCCGUAGCGGUCUGAGAGGAUGAUCAGCCACACUGGGACUGAGAUACGGCCCAGACUCCUACGGGAGGCAGCAGUGGGGAAUAUUGGACAAUGGGGGAAACCCUGAUCCAGCAAUGCCGCGUGAGUGAAGAAGGCCUUCGGUUGUUAAGAC